GCAAGGUUAAAACUCAAAGAAAUUGACGGGGGCCCGCACAAGCAGAGGAGCAUGUGGCUUAAUUCGAUGCAACGCGAAGAACCUUACCCAGGUUUGACAUAUAACUGCAAAUCCCUGGAAACAGGGACUCCUUCGAGGGUGUUAUACAGGUGCUGCAUGGCUGUCGUCAGUUCGUGCCGUGAGGUGUUUGGUUAAGUCCAGCAACGAACGCAACCCCUAUGUUUAGUUGCCAGCGGGUAAUGCCGGGAACUCUAGACAGACUGCCCGUUCACACGGGAGGAAGGUGGGGACGACGUCAAGUCAGUAUGGCCCUUACAUCUGGGGCUGCACACGUGCUACAAUGGCAGGUACAAUAGGAAGCAAUACCGCGAGGUGGAGCCAAUCCCCAAAACCUGCCCCAGUUCGGAUUGUGGUCUGCAACCCGACCACAUGAAGUUGGAUUUGCUAGUAACGGCGUAUCAGCUACGACGCCGUGAAUACGUUCCCGGGCCUUGUACACACCGCCCGUCACAUCAUGAAAGCCGUCUGCACCCGAAUCCGGUGCACCAACCAGCAAUGGAGGGAGCCGUCUAAGGUGUGGGUGGUAAUUGGGAUGAAGUCGUAACAAGGUAACC
Molecule: ribosomal RNA, 614 nt
Filed under: uncultured bacterium
Lineage: Bacteria
Description: bacterial SSU rRNA
Rfam family: Bacterial small subunit ribosomal RNA
Source: RNAcentral